GACGAACGCUGGCGGCGUGCUUAACACAUGCAAGUCGAUCGAUGAAGCCUAGCUUGCUAGGUGGAUUAGUGGCGAACGGGUGAGUAAUACGUGAGUAACCUACCUUUAACUCUGGGAUAAGCCCGGGAAACUGGGUCUAAUACCGGAUACGACCAAUCUCCGCAUGGGGUGUUGGUGGAAAGCGUUAUGUAGUGGUUAUAGAUGGGCUCACGGCCUAUCAGCUUGUUGGUGAGGUAACGGCUCACCAAGGCGACGACGGGUAGCCGGCCUGAGAGGGUGACCGGCCACACUGGGACUGAGACACGGCCCAGACUCCUACGGGAGGCAGCAGUGGGGAAUAUUGCACAAUGGGCGCAAGCCUGAUGCAGCGACGCCGCGUGAGGGAUGACGGCCUUCGGGUUGUAAACCUCUGUUAGCAGGGAAGAAGAGAGAUUGACGGUACCUGCAGAGAAAGCGCCGGCUAACUACGUG
Molecule: ribosomal RNA, 471 nt
Filed under: uncultured bacterium
Lineage: Bacteria
Description: partial 16S ribosomal RNA
Rfam family: Bacterial small subunit ribosomal RNA
Source: RNAcentral